This 393-nucleotide ribosomal RNA is filed under the name uncultured bacterium. Its description in RNAcentral is "partial 16S ribosomal RNA". It matches the Rfam family "Bacterial small subunit ribosomal RNA", at positions 523 to 918 of the family's 1533-position model. The record is from RNAcentral.
AUACGGAGGACGCGAGCGUUAUCCGGAUUCAUUGGGUUUAAAGGGUGCGCAGGCGGCCGUGCAAGUCAGCGGUGAAAGCCCGGGGCUCAACCCCGGAAGUGCCGUUGAUACUGCGUGGCUGGAAUGCGGUCGAGGCGGGCGGGACGUGGCGGGGAGCGGGGAAAUGCGUAGAUAUGCCACAGAACGCCGAUAGCGGAGGCAGCUCGCCAGGCCUGCAUUGACGCUCGGGCACGAAAGCGUGGGGAUCGAACAGGAUUAGAUACCCUGGUAGUCCACGCCGUAAACGAUGGGCGCUCGUCGUCGGCGACAGACAGUCGGCGGCCAAGCGAAAGCGAUAAGCGCCCCACCUGGGGAGUACGGUCGCAAGGCUGAAACUCAAAUGAAUUGGCGGGG